AGAAAGAUAAGCUAUUUAAGCUACUGGGUUCAUACCCCAUUGAUAGGUUCUCCUUCUUUCUA
Molecule: transfer RNA, 62 nt
Filed under: Thereuonema tuberculata
Lineage: Eukaryota; Metazoa; Arthropoda; Chilopoda; Scutigeromorpha; Scutigeridae
Description: tRNA-Met
Source: RNAcentral